RNAcentral lists this long non-coding RNA (4735 nucleotides) under Nicotiana benthamiana. Its description in RNAcentral is "long non-coding RNA (NBEN_LNC027995)". The record is from RNAcentral. Lineage: Eukaryota; Viridiplantae; Streptophyta; Magnoliopsida; Solanales; Solanaceae.
UUAAAUUAAAAUAAAUAGAAAGAAGUAUACAAAGAAAAUUAUAAACUAGUUGAACGUGAAGAUGCAAACGUCUUCUGCAACUUCUUCAUCUCACUCUCUCAAAUCUCAACAAAAGGGGGUUUCUUCUAAAUCUUAUUAAAAACUAUCCAUCCAAUUCCCUCAAUUCUCUUAAAUCUACCCUCAAAUUGCAAAUGUUAAUCGAGACCCAAAGCCCUAAUCAGAAAUUGUAUACUCAAAUCAGGUAUGUGUUUGAAUCCAAAAUUCUUUUUGGUGGUACAUGCAAUUUAACCUUUAUAUUCUCUGACCCAAUUGAAAAUAUAAGGAAUCUGAAUAAUUUUUGUUGAACAGCCAUAACCCUUCUCAAUGUCGACUACUCUUUCAUUGGGUAAGUUGAAAGCUUCUUUAAAUAUUUUUUUAGAGCUUUUGGUUAUUACAUGUUUGGUAUUCCAGUGAAAAUCCUGACCGCUUAUCUCUCUCUCUCUUCUUUGAAAAUACAGAUCUAGAGUUGAAGAUGGAAGAAGAACAAGCGAUUUGGCUUCAAAAAUGUAAAAAGAACGAUUCAGAAAUACGAAGCGGCCUUGUGUUGUUUCCGCUCCUUUACUCUAAGAUUCGUAAGUUGCAGAAGGUUCUUUUGUUUUUGUAUUUCUUGCCUUCUAAUAUUUUAUUUCUCAUCAUUUCCUCAUUUAUACUUGUAUAUGUACAUAUAGUUAUGAUAUGGAAGUUAAUUUCCUGUUUUAUUUGUGUUCUUUAGCUAUCUUGCAUUGAUUUGGGUUGAAUCCGACGAGCAUAAUGAGAUUUGACUUUUCUUCAUCUAGUCUUCUUUUCAAUUUUAUUGUUGUGCUUUAAGAUUAUGCAAAGGGUAAUAAGAAUUAAAGGAUGAGGAAGAAAAUGUUAUAGUUUUUGGUAAAGUAAGUAAUUGAAUUGUAGAAUGUUUUCUCUGUUCUUUAAUCUUUCUCUUUUCUAUAGAUUUCUGUUAUAGAAUAAUUUCAGUGGCUCGAGAGGAAAACUUUUGGAUCUUUAAUGAUGUAUUGGAGACGUAUUAUACUCCAUAAGUGCUUCUUUGAGUUUCCGACCUGGCUAAACUCGCCAUAGGUUUUCUAUAUUCCUCAUUAUCCCCAACUUUUCCAUUCAGAGAAAAUGUAAAAUGCCAAGAAAAAAUAAACUCUAUUACUUAGUUUUUAACAGUUGGAAUGGAGACUGGGAGUUCUUGGAUUUCUUAUUCCCUUUUUCGUUUGGUAUCUGAUUGACUUUCUUUCCGUUGCUAAUGGUAUUUUCACUAAAAGUAGUUCAAUUCUUGUUUCCUGUAAGUGGUUCAGAUUAAGGUGGUUAUUGGCCUAGUAUAAUCUGAUUCAUAAAAUCUUUCUCAUUGCCUUGAAGAAAUGCAAUGAAUAAGUUGUUGAACCUUGGGGUGGUAUUACUUUAUAUGUUCUUUACCUAUGUAAUAGUUACUUUAUAUUUGUAGAUGAUAGAACUUAUGCCAUAAAGAAGAAUCUUAUUUAUAAUUAUGAAUGAUCAGAGUUGGUGAAAGAGGAGAUCCUUGUUCCAUCUUAAUUAUAAUUAUGAGUAACAAUUUUCUGAAUAUAAUUGUUAUUCAUAAGUGUACAUAUAGGUUUUUGAAUUACUCAAUUUUCUUUUUUAGAAAAGUAAUGCUUUCAACCAGUAGUUGGCUAAUUUUCCCAUACCUACUGAUACUAUUGUGAAAGCAUUCUCUCUUUUUUGUGAAGUAUAUCUAACUGCUUAUCUAUCCUGAAUAAUGUCAAACAAUUAGUAUUGAGGCGCAAAGAAUUUUUGCAACAUUGCCUGAAAAGUGAAUGUUUGUACACGUUUUUAGCACCUUGAGUAAAUUAUAAGACUUUAAUAGUCUUAAAAUUUUCACUUAGAUAUUAUUCCAAAAAUAUCCAUGUCAGAUCUGGUGAAAAUCUCAUAAGAUACAUCAUGUCGGGGAGCAAGUUUCACAAUAUAUAUAUAGCGCAAAUAGACUGCUAGGUUAUUCACCUAGUACUAGUAGUUUUUAUAUUAUACAUAUUAAAUCCCAAAACGGGUCGACGUUACACAAUGUUCAAGUGCAACCAACAAAAAUAAAAAACACAUAAAAAGAAAGCCAACGGCUAAUGCUACCAAAUAUAAUGUAGCAGUAGCGUGUAAAUAGCAAACAAAGAAAAUCUACUAAUUUGAAACAUCCAAUUGUUGCUGAAGGCAAUGAAUUUACACACCACUUGCAACCAAAUAGUUGUAGCACCUACAAAGCUCUCACCAGGCGCCAUUUUUUUCAAUCCAAGAGGAGUAGGUAUGCAUAAUUCACAAGUGUUAAAGCAAAUCAAAUUGGACAUUUUAACUUUUUGGUAUGAAGAAUUCUAAGUAGUAGAAUCUGCAGUAAUUUAUUUUCCAAAAAAGAGCAUUGCUUGAACAUAUUUUGAAAAAAUAGUAUGCUGAUAGUUCCCAAUUGAGCAUUCGAAUAUCAGUUGCAUCAGUAGAAGUUGUAGAAGCCGACUUGAAUCCUUCCAUAUAGUGUUGCAUCAACCAUAUGUUGAGCGUUAAAUAAUGCUAAUACCACUUGUGUUGCAACAACUCCAAACAGAGAGAGUAAAGUCUUACAAUACAACCAAAUUGUAUAUGUUAUGGCAUCAGGAGAGGAGCAGUACUAUCCUCACUUCAGUUGCAUCAUAAAAUCGGUUGAGCAGCCUAACAGAAUCAGUAGCAACAGAAUAAGAAGCAGAACAGAACAUAGUAUAACUCGAGCAGCAGAGCACAAUAUCCCUGUGUUUUCUUGUUCCUUGUUGCAUUCUUACGUGCACUGCUAACUAAAUAAAAGUACAUAUGUGGCCUCUACAAUAUCUGUUGUCUUUCAGUUUUGACUCGCCAUCAUUAUCUUCGACAUUACCAGUAGAUAGAUUUAUUGAUGAAUGUUUCAGUCCAGCAGAUGCUCUGUGUGUUUAUCAGACAGAAUAUAGCCAAAGCUUGACAAAGACGAUAACACGUGCACUGUUAACUGGAUAACACAACACCUGAUUGCAGUGAUGAGAUCUGUUUGCUUUCAGAACUCGCCAUCAUUAUCUUUAACUUUAUCAGCAGCCAGAUCUGUUGACCUACUCCUGGAGUUCCACUUGUAAGUAUUGUGUCCUAUCUUUACUUGUUUGAUUGCAGUAGCAUUAUACAUAGUUAGCUUGCCCCUCCUGCUUUAUGAUCAUUGUCCAGACACUAUAAGGAUCCCUCAAGUUGAGCAUAGGAAUGCUAAUACCAUUGGGUAGACCCUUACAUAAUAUGGAUUAUCAUCAUUGGCAGAAGUGCAGAAGUUGAAAAAACAGCUGCAACUAGCUUCAAUCUGGAGGUUUUCUCCUGAUAGUUCUAAUCCUUAACAUAAGAGUUCUUGACUUAUCAAGGUUGAGUAGUGUCCUUUCUUUCCUUGGCAAUUCUGUGAAUGAGUUGAAUGUAAUUGUACCUGCAAAAAAGAAUGCUACAUUAGCAAAAUAAUUCGACAUUGUGUUACCUUUCCUUAGGACAUGUUGAAAUAGCACAUUGAAUUGCUCCUUCAUUUUCUUGAUCUUCUUCACCUCCUUUCCUAUGCACCAUGGAGCUUUCCAUUCUCCCUCUAUGAUUCUCUUCAUUACUAGUGAAUCGGUCUCUGUAAUUAAAGGGUGUAUUUGCUGGUUAACACAAAAAGUCAAACCCUCUAAAAUUGCUUUUACUUCUGCCACAAUAUUAGAACUUUCUCAUGUCCUCUCUGCCUUAGCAUAUACCAAAUCUCCAUGACUGUUCCUCACACAGAAGCCGUAAGAGCUUGGUCCUAGAUUGCCUUUUGAUGCACCAUAAGUGUUACAUUUGAACCAUCCUUUGUACUUCUCCAUCUGGCGGUUUCCGUUUGAAUUUAAUAAACUAUAGUUGGAAGAGCACCUAUUAGAAGAAGAAAUCGAAAGAGAGCAUUGUGAAACUAGGACAAACUUGGAAUGUAAAACAUGACUCAUUUUAAACCAUAAACUCAGGAAUUAUUUCAAAUGUUAAUAUUGUCAAACUAUACUUCCAUCAAUGUCACUAAAUAUGGUAGUGAGGAUGUUUGUUCUUUUACCAGGAGUAUGAUUAAGUGAAUAAUCAAAAAGAGAAAGCUUUAAUUCUUUAUAUUUACCAUCAGUUGUUGAUAUGUGCUGAUCAAUUUUAAUAGUUUGGGCAGCUGCACAUGAAAUAAAGUGAUUUUAUUCAUCAUUGUUAUUGUGAAUUUCUUAAAAUAUAGUGACGAUUUUUGAAAAGUCCCUGAAUUUCUUUUGUAGUGCAAAAGAUAAUAAUGUGCCUUUGUAUGGAAUAGUACAACACGAUCCGCACUUGGAGAUCCCUGAAUUUCUUUUGUAGGUAGUAACCAAUCUGUCCAGUGUGUGCAAAAGAUAAUGUGUAUGGAAUAGUACAACACGAUCCGCACUUGGAGAGCAACCAAUAGUAUUCUCUUGUGAGAGUUUCUUAUUGCAUUCUGUGGUCAUAUUAUUCAAGAUGACAUGGUAGUAGCCAAGGAGAAGCUUGAAGACAUUUUAUUUUUGUUGCUUCUUUGCUUUUGUUUUUUUCCUCGGGGCAUUUCAGGUUUAUGGACAAUUCCUAUAUGUUCUGAAUUUUAAUUAGAAGUUUGUUGAUCUUUUUGUAUAAAAGACUUAAUGGUGUCUCUUUUUACAUUAAUGAGUUGCUCUAAUACACUUAGUGUAAUAUUGUUGCUGCUUAAUUAUUUUUUUUAAAAAUAAAUUCUUCUGGAAAAAUA